CCUACGGGGGGCAGCAGUGGGGAAUAUUGGACAAUGGGGGCAACCCUGAUCCAGCCAUGCCGCGUGUGUGAAGAAGGCCCUCGGGUUGUAAAGCACUUUCAGUGAGGAAGAACGCCUGGUGGUUAAUACCCAUCAGGAAAGACAUCACUCACAGAAGAAGCACCGGCUAACUCCGUGCCAGCAGCCGCGGUAAUACGGAGGGUGCGAGCGUUAAUCGGAAUUACUGGGCGUAAAGCGCGCGUAGGUGGCUUGAUAAGCCGGUUGUGAAAGCCCCGGGCUCAACCUGGGAACGGCAUCCGGAACUGUCAAGCUAGAGUGCAGGAGAGGAAGGUAGAAUUCCCGGUGUAGCGGUGAAAUGCGUAGAGAUCGGGAGGAAUACCAGUGGCGAAGGAGGCCUUCUGGACUGACACUGACACUGAGGUGCGAAAGCGUGGGUAGCAAACAGGAUUAGAUACCCUAGUAGGC
This 465-nucleotide ribosomal RNA is filed under the name Vreelandella stevensii. RNAcentral's name for it is "partial 16S ribosomal RNA". It matches the Rfam family "Bacterial small subunit ribosomal RNA", at positions 338 to 795 of the family's 1533-position model. The record is from RNAcentral. Lineage: Bacteria; Pseudomonadati; Pseudomonadota; Gammaproteobacteria; Oceanospirillales; Halomonadaceae.